This 484-nucleotide ribosomal RNA is filed under the name uncultured bacterium. RNAcentral describes it as "bacterial SSU rRNA". It matches the Rfam family "Bacterial small subunit ribosomal RNA", at positions 30 to 507 of the family's 1533-position model. The record is from RNAcentral.
AUUGAACGCUGGCGGCAUGCCUUACACAUGCAAGUCGAACGGCAGCGGACCGUUCGGGUGCCGGCGAGGUGGCGAACGGGUGAGUAAUAUAUCGGAACGUACCUUCAGGUGGGGGAUAACGUAGCGAAAGUUACGCUAAUACCGCAUAUUCUGUGAGCAGGAAAGCAGGGGAUCGCAAGACCUUGCGCUGAUUGAGCGGCCGAUAUCAGAUUAGCUAGUUGGUGAGGUAAAGGCUCACCAAGGCGACGAUCUGUAGCGGGUCUGAGAGGAUGAUCCGCCACACUGGAACUGAGACACGGUCCAGACUCCUACGGGAGGCAGCAGUGGGGAAUUUUGGACAAUGGGCGCAAGCCUGAUCCAGCCAUGCCGCAUGAGUGAAGAAGGCCUUCGGGUUGUAAAGCUCUUUCGGCCGGGAAGAAAUCGCACGGGUUAAUACCCUGUGUGGAUGACGGUACCGGAAUAAGAAGCACCGGCUAACUACGUG